Long non-coding RNA from Monodelphis domestica (gray short-tailed opossum), 1244 nucleotides. RefSeq lists it as uncharacterized. The record is from RefSeq and is a predicted model, not a curated record. NCBI's taxonomy places the organism in Eukaryota, Metazoa, Chordata, Mammalia, Didelphimorphia, Didelphidae.
AUCUUUGGACUCUUUGGUUCCUGCUCACCCAUUACACUGAGUGAAUGAACUGAGGUGGCAUACUGGGGACUGUGCCCAGCCAGGACUGACCUCUUCAGGCCUCCGAUUCUGGCUCAGAGCAGCAGAGACCAAUUUCGUCAAGGCCUUCGUCUGGACAAGGGCUCACGCGACGCUACCCAGCCUGCGUGGCCCGCCCGGACCGUGAAGGGACAGUCCUCCCGGCUGCCUCUGGACACUACUCGGCCGCUAGGGUUCUCGCCACAGUCCUGCCCUCAACCAUAAUGAAUGGAGGAAUGAACACGGCCGAGGUCCUGGAUUCUCGCUCAGCCUCGUCUCUGCCAGUGUGUCCUGGGCCAGAGGCGGAGCCCCAGCCCCAUCCCCUUCAACCGGAGGGACCUCAGAAUUGUUGGUGUUUCCACGGGCCCCCUCCGGGACAAUGACUUUUGCUCAGCUGGUCCCCUGAAGCAUCCCCUCCAAUCUCUGUGAUGUCUGUUUCAAAGUACAUAAUACUGGACUUGGCUGCCACCCCCCUCUAUUGACCAAGAAAGUUCUAGCAGAUGGCAUUCCGUGCAUCUCUACCAAACCUAGACUGUUGCCUUCGUUGAUGUGCACAGAAUUCGAAAAAAAAAAACUGUCGAGUUCUGCUUUCCUUAGGGGGUCUCAUUCAGAGCCCAUCUUCCCUCUUCCAAGCCAGACCGGGAUUGCAGCAUCUGGGAUCCCCCUUUCCUGUCCUUCUUCAAUUGUGGAAAGGCUGGAGGACAUCCCCUGAAAUGCUCCCAGCCUAUGGCAAGAGAAGGUAGGAGGCCAAAACCAGUUCCUGAGCCACAGGCAGACCCCCGUCAUCUCCUCAAUGAAGAACCUGGAAUUGAUGGUGUUGACAUGAGGUCCUACAGGACACUGCCCUCUGUCCACCUCGGCUCUGAGCCAUCCCCAGAAGGCUCUAUGAUGUCAGCUGCAAAACAGUCAACAAUCACAUGUACCCACCCCUAAACACUGAGACCCUAAAGUGACUCUUGUAAUCCAAGAGAUGAGUUUUGGCACCAAUCUAGGCCAAUAUCCUUUGAAUUUCCCCUGAGUCCCCUGAACAGACUUCGAGGAGGGCUUUCUCUUGAUCAGCUCUCCCCAGAUCCUCACAACCUCCAGGACCCUCCGUUUGAAAGCGGAGCCCAUUGUCCUGGUUCUCUCCCCUCUUGAUUGUUACUGACGGUGGGGACUUGUUCGGACACCUCUGGAAACACAAACAU